This 1067-nucleotide ribosomal RNA is filed under the name uncultured bacterium. RNAcentral's name for it is "bacterial SSU rRNA". It matches the Rfam family "Bacterial small subunit ribosomal RNA", at positions 8 to 1057 of the family's 1533-position model. The record is from RNAcentral.
AGAGUUUGAUCCUGGCUCAGGAUGAACGCUGGCGGCGUGCCUAACACAUGCAAGUCGAGCGAGGGUUUGCUCAGUAUUGAGUAUUCUAAGUUUAGAAUGUUCAAUUCUGAGCAAAACCAAGCGGGCGGACGGGGUGAGUAACGCGUGGGUAACCUGCCCUAUACACAUGGAUAACAAUACUGAAAAGUUUACUAAUACAUGAUAAUAUAUAUUUGUGGCAUCGCAGAUAUAUCAAAGUGUUAGCGGUAUAGGAUGGACCCGCGUCUGAUUAGCUAGUUGGUGAGAUAACUGCCCACCAAGGCGACGAUCAGUAGCCGACCUGAGAGGGUGAUCGGCCACAUUGGAACUGAGACACGGUCCAAACUCCUACGGGAGGCAGCAGUGGGGAAUAUUGCACAAUGGGCGAAAGCCUGAUGCAGCAACGCCGCGUGAACGAUGAAGGUCUUCGGAUCGUAAAGUUCUGUUGCAGGGGAAGAUAAUGACGGUACCCUGUGAGGAAGCCCCGGCUAACUACGUGCCAGCAGCCGCGGUAAUACGUAGGGGGCUAGCGUUAUCCGGAUUUACUGGGCGUAAAGGGUGCGUAGGUGGUCCUUCAAGUCGGUGGUUAAAGGCUACGGCUCAACCGUAGUAAGCCGCCGAAACUGGAGGACUUGAGUGCAGGAGAGGAAAGUGGAAUUCCCAGUGUAGCGGUGAAAUGCGUAGAUAUUGGGAGGAACACCAGUAGCGAAGGCGGCUUUCUGGACUGCAACUGACACUGAGGCACGAAAGCGUGGGUAGCAAACAGGAUUAGAUACCCUGGUAGUCCACGCUGUAAACGAUGAGUACUAGGUGUCGGGGGUUACCCCCCCUCGGUGCCGCAGCUAACGCAUUAAGUACUCCGCCUGGGGAGUACGCACGCAAGUGUGAAACUCAAAGGGAAUUGACGGGGACCCGCACAAGUAGCGGAGCAUGUGGUUUAAUUCGAAGCAACGCGAAGAACCUUACCUAAGCUUGACAUCCCUCGGACAGGUGUUUAAUCACACCCUUCCUUCGGGACUGAGGUGACAGGUGGUGCAUGGUUGUCGUAA